GAUGAACGCUGGCGGCGUGCCUAAUACAUGCAAGUCGAGCGAACGGACGAGAAGCUUGCGUUUCUGAGGUUAGCGGCGGACGGGUGAGUAACACGUGGAUAACCUACCUAUAAGACUGGGAUAACUUCGUGAAACCGGAGCUAAUACCAGAGAAUAUUUUGAACCGCAGAGUUCAAAAGUUAAAGACGCUCUGGCUGUCACAUAGAGAUGGAUCCGCGCUGCAUUAGCUAGUUGGUAAGGUAACGGCUUACCAAGGCAACGAUGCAUAGCCGACCUGAGAGGGUGAUCGGCCACACUGGAACUGAGACACGGUCCAGACUCCUACGGGAGGCAGCAGUAGGGAAUCUUCCGCAAAGGGCGCAAGCCUGACGGAGCCACGCCGCGUGAGUGAUGAAGGUCUUCGGAUCGUAAAACUCUGUUAUUAGGGAAGAACAUAUGUGUAUGUAGCUGUGCACAUCUUGACGGUACCUAAUCAGAAAGCCCCGGUUAACUACGUG
RNAcentral lists this ribosomal RNA (497 nucleotides) under uncultured bacterium. Its description in RNAcentral is "partial 16S ribosomal RNA". It matches the Rfam family "Bacterial small subunit ribosomal RNA", at positions 28 to 507 of the family's 1533-position model. The record is from RNAcentral.